UCUCGUCACGUGACUCGCGAGAUUUUACGAUAAUUUUCACUUCCUCGCACAUGGUCAUGGUGAAUGUGUAUUGAGUUCAGCAUGUUUCUGGUUUACACACAGCUUUCAGGGGGAAAUUAAAUAGUUUUACAAAGCCGAAGGGUUGUCCGACUUACGAUGUAUGAAUUUCAUGUCAUAAGAAAUUGGGUGCGAGCGUCCACCAGGAAUAUUUCGAUCGAAAUACAGAUUUCUCUUGAAUCCGAGAUGUUAUUCAUCAGCUGAUUAUAGAGGAGGAGUUUUGUCAUUGAUGGGAACGAACGUCAUAUUUAUGAUAUUGUGGCUGCAUCACUUUUGUUUGGCAGAGGUAAAAGAGAACCAGUAACACAGAUAAAAGAUGCAGUUCCUAAAAGAUCCAAAGUCAGCAGCGCCUAAGACUAUACUGAUCAUGACUUUGAAUUAUCAGCAUCCAAAACAAUGCAAAUCAAAUACAGGUUUUGUCUGUACAUCUGGCAAUCUUGGGGCAAUACUGGAUGGUUUUAACUAAGAACUGAUCCAGCAUGAAGACCAGCCAUGUGCCUCACCUGUCAUGACAUUAUUAAAGUGCAAUGGUUGUGAAGAAAAUGAAUGGAAACUAAAUGGACUGACAGACAGCAGCAAAGCAAUAUGCCCUCCUUUCUUCAAAGGGGGGGGGGCAUAAUAAAUGUACAUAUAUGUAAACAUAUGACAGUUAAACAUACAAUUUUUCCAAAAACAAAACAGAUGUACCCAAAUGUGUAGAUAUAAAUUAACAAAAAAAUUACAAUUUUGAUUUUUUCAUCACUUGUUGUACACAUUAUCAUACAGGACCCAUUUACUGAGUAUUUUGUCCUUACAUUGAAAAACUU
Molecule: long non-coding RNA, 863 nt
Organism: Saccostrea cuccullata (small rock oyster)
Lineage: Eukaryota; Metazoa; Mollusca; Bivalvia; Ostreida; Ostreidae
Exons: 5
Source: RefSeq, a predicted model, not a curated record